Molecule: ribosomal RNA, 722 nt
Filed under: Nosema granulosis
Lineage: Eukaryota; Fungi; Microsporidia; Nosematidae
Description: partial small subunit ribosomal RNA
Rfam family: Microsporidia small subunit ribosomal RNA
Source: RNAcentral
GUUAUUGAAUAUAAAGAAAAGACGAACAGCUCAGUAACUCUUAUUUUAUUUGAUGUAUUAGGAUUAUAACUAUGUUAAAUUAUAGAUAACAAUAAUACAAUAAGAAUAAGAUCUAUCAGUUAGUUGUUAAGGUAAUGGCUUAACAAGACUAUGACGGAUAACGGUAUUACUUUGUAAUAUUCCGGAGAAGGAGCCUGAGAGAUUGCUACUAAGUCUAAGGAUUGCAGCAGGGGCGAAACUUGACCUAUGAUAUGAUAUUGAGGCAGUUAUGAGUAGUAUUUUUAAUUAUUGUAGUAUUGUAAGUAUAUACUACAAGAUAAAUCGGAGGGCAAAUCGAGUGCCAGCAGCCGCGGUAAUACUUGUUCCGAUAGUGUGUAUGAUGAUUGAUGCAGUUAAAAAGUCUGUAGUUUAUGAUUAAUAAGCAUUGUGAGGUAUAUUGUAUGGUUAGGAGAGAGAUGAAAUGUGAUAACCCUAACUGGAUGAACAGAAGCGAAAGCUAUAUACUUAAAUGUAUUAUUAGAACAAGGACGUAAGCUAGAGGAUCGAAGAUGAUUAGAUACCAUUGUAGUUCUAGCAGUAAACUAUGUUAAAUCAUAGAUACAUUUUAAUAUGUAUUUAUGUAAAGAAAUUAAGAUUAUAUUGACUCUGGGGAUAGUAUGAUCGCAAGAUUGAAAAUUAAAGAAAUUGACGGAAGAAUACCACAAGGAGUGGAUUGUGCGGCU